Long non-coding RNA from Mytilus trossulus (common blue mussel), 819 nucleotides. RefSeq lists it as uncharacterized. Lineage: Eukaryota; Metazoa; Mollusca; Bivalvia; Mytilida; Mytilidae. The transcript is spliced from 2 exons. The record is from RefSeq and is a predicted model, not a curated record.
UAUGUAUGUUAUCUACGUAUUAUCCUGGUUCCCGGUACUACGUUCCGGGUAUUAGCUAUUUGAUAUAUUUGAUGUGUAACAUUACAAUCGGGUACCAGCCAAUCUACGUGUGUAUGUGUACAUGAUUUACCGCCAAAAUGACCGACUUAAAAAAUAGUCCAUAAACGUUCCGUAUAAUGAUAUGCAAAUUCAUAAUUAAUCGUAACUUUUUUUAUCUUUGUAUAAUUAAUAUAACAAAAUGGAUUCCACAAAAUUGAAAAUAGCAUUAUUUUACGAGGAUUUCUCAUAUUUUUUUCACUUCCGGCGCAGUAAUACGUAUGUUUUGAAGAAGCUCAAAGAAUUUGACAAAGUGAAUUGAGAAGGAAACGGAUAGAUAUACGUUCUUGCUAUCAGGGCACAACCCCACUUUAAAGAGACUUGUCUACUGCCAUACCCAUCCUAUUUUCAUGCACCAUUUGCAAGCAAGAGACUGAAUGGUUUGCAAAAUUAAAAAUCAGGACGGUGUCCAAUUAAAACGAAAGAACUAAACUGGAUGAAUAUUGUAGGAGAAAUCUAGACAUGCUAGAGGAAAGUUUUGAUUUGUGAAAUUGGUUUUCCUGAAAAGUCAUUCAUCCUAGCCUGCAGAAAGGAACUAUAACUGUCCACCACCAACUGACGAGCUAAUGUUGAGCUUCACAUAUGGAAUUACUCAAAUACCAUCAAUGUCUAUGUUUUCAGCACAAAUUUCACAAUUUAUGACACAGCUGUGCUUUUUUUUAUACCGUUAAAGAGUUGUAUACCAAAUUUUAUUUUUUUAUCAAUAAAUAUAUAUUAUAUUAA